UUUCUGAGUGGGGCGCAGCCUGAUGCAGCCCGCCGCGUGUGUGAUGAAGGCCUUCGGGUUGUAAAGCUCUUUCAGCCGGGACGAAACCGUGGCGGUACCUUCGAGGGUGCACCAUGGUACUCCGUGCCACGGCCGCGGUACUGCGUGCCAGCAGCCGCGGUAAACA
Molecule: ribosomal RNA, 166 nt
Filed under: uncultured bacterium
Lineage: Bacteria
Description: partial 16S ribosomal RNA
Source: RNAcentral